Molecule: ribosomal RNA, 492 nt
Filed under: uncultured bacterium
Lineage: Bacteria
Description: partial 16S ribosomal RNA
Rfam family: Bacterial small subunit ribosomal RNA
Source: RNAcentral
AGUGAACGCUGGCGGUAGGCCUAACACAUGCAAGUCGAACGGCAGCACAGUAAGAGCUUGCUCUUACGGGUGGCGAGUGGCGGACGGGUGAGGAAUACAUCGGAAUCUACUUUUUCGUGGGGGAUAACGUAGGGAAACUUACGCCAAUACCGCAUACGACCUACGGGUGAAAGCAGGGGAUCUUCGGACCUUGCGCGAUUGAAUGAGCCGAUGUCGGAUUAGCUAGUUGGCGGGGUAAAGGCCCACCAAGGCGGCGAUCCGUAGCUGGUCUGAGAGGAUGAUCAGCCACACUGGAACUGAGACACGGUCCAGACUCCUACGGGAGGCAGCAGUGGGGAAUAUUGGACAAUGGGCGCAAGCCUGAUCCAGCCAUACCGCGUGGGUGAAGAAGGCCUUCGGGUUGUAAAGCCCUUUUGUUGGGAAAGAAAAGCAGCAGGUUAAUACCCCGCUGUUCUGACGGUACCCAAAGAAUAAGCACCGGCUAACUUCGUG